GGAGGGUUGGCAGAGUGGUCUAAUGCGCCGCACUCGAAAUGCGGUUAGGGAGAAAUCUCUUCAUAGGUUCAAAUCCUAUACCCUCCG
RNAcentral lists this transfer RNA (87 nucleotides) under Candidatus Wolfebacteria bacterium CG10_big_fil_rev_8_21_14_0_10_31_9. Its description in RNAcentral is "tRNA-Ser". It matches the Rfam family "tRNA". Rfam says of the family: Transfer RNA (tRNA) molecules are approximately 80 nucleotides in length. The record is from RNAcentral. Lineage: Bacteria; Candidatus Wolfeibacteriota.